UUAUAAGGAAGGCGUCGGGUCCUCCAUUUCAGUCUUUCUUUCUGCCAGGACGUGGCCGUGGCAUUUCUGGUCUGUAAACACUGAACUCUUUGGGGUCU
Molecule: non-coding RNA, 98 nt
Organism: Pteropus vampyrus (large flying fox)
Lineage: Eukaryota; Metazoa; Chordata; Mammalia; Chiroptera; Pteropodidae
Source: Rfam